This 468-nucleotide ribosomal RNA is filed under the name uncultured bacterium. Its description in RNAcentral is "partial 16S ribosomal RNA". It matches the Rfam family "Bacterial small subunit ribosomal RNA", at positions 28 to 507 of the family's 1533-position model. The record is from RNAcentral.
GACGGACGCUGGCGGCGUGCUUAACACAUGCAAGUCGAACGGAAAGGCCCUGCUUUUGUGGGGUGCUCGAGUGGCGAACGGGUGAGUAACACGUGAGUAACCUGCCCUUGACUUUGGGAUAACUUCAGGAAACUGGGGCUAAUACCGGAUAGGAGCUCCUGCUGCAUGGUGGGGGUUGGAAAGUUUCGGCGGUUGGGGAUGGACUCGCGGCUUAUCAGCUUGUUGGUGGGGUAGUGGCUUACCAAGGCUUUGACGGGUAGCCGGCCUGAGAGGGUGACCGGCCACAUUGGGACUGGGAUCCGGCCCAGACUCCUACGGGAGGCAGCAGUGGGGAAUAUUGCACAAUGGGCGGAAGCCUGAUGCAGCAACGCCGCGUGCGGGAUGACGGCCUUCGGGUUGUAAACCGCUUUCGCCUGUGACGAAGCGUGAGUGACGGUAAUGGGUAAAGAAGCACCGGCUAACUACGUG